AUCCAGCUGACAAGUCCCGAAUAGGGUGAAACGCACGUCGUGGAU
RNAcentral lists this non-coding RNA (45 nucleotides) under Schistosoma margrebowiei. Lineage: Eukaryota; Metazoa; Platyhelminthes; Trematoda; Strigeidida; Schistosomatidae. The record is from RNAcentral.